RNAcentral lists this ribosomal RNA (436 nucleotides) under uncultured bacterium. Its description in RNAcentral is "bacterial SSU rRNA". It matches the Rfam family "Bacterial small subunit ribosomal RNA", at positions 954 to 1392 of the family's 1533-position model. The record is from RNAcentral.
AUGGGAACGCGAAGAACCUUACCUAGACUUGACAUCCCCUGAAUAACGUAGAGAUACGCGAAGCCCUUCGGGGCAGGGAGACAGGUGGUGCAUGGUUGUCGUCAGCUCGUGUCGUGAGAUGUUGGGUUAAGUCCCGCAACGAGCGCAACCCUUAUCAUUAGUUGCUACCAUUUAGUUGAGCACUCUAGUGAGACUGCCCGGGUUAACCGGGAGGAAGGCGGGGAUGACGUCAAAUCAUCAUGCCCCUUAUGUCUAGGGCUACACACGUGCUACAAUGGUGAGUACAGAUAGAUGCGAUACCGCAAGGUGGAGCCAAACUCUAAAACUCAUCCCAGUUCGGAUUGUAGGCUGCAACUCGACUCCAUGAAGUCGGAAUCGCUAGUAAUCGUAGAUCAGAAUGCUACGGUGAAUACGUUCCCGGGUCUUGUACACACCG